GAGCUCCUCACGGCACGGGCGGGGCUGGGAGAAUCUGGCAGCUCAACCAUCAACAUAGAUGUGCUGGCAGCACUCUGGGCUGGACACACUGCAUCCAUCAGGAAAUAUUUCCCUCAUGUCGUACCACUGCCAUGCUUAGCCAGGAUGGGAGCUGUCCUUGGGCUAAGGUAACAGAGAUCCUUAGGCUCUCUUGGUGUCCCUGCUCUCCUCUGCUCUUCCUGGUCCUGAUUUGCUCUAGCUAGGCUGAUGAUGGACCAUCUCCAUAGGGAAACUGACAUAGAGCCUGCUAAAACAUUGGUAUACUGAGCUGAGCCUACCCUGAGCUGGUGGUGGCUCAAAUGCAAUUCCAAGGCAAUGCUUUAUCUUGGAUUUCUAAAUUACUAACCUAGGCCUCAAAAAAUGGCUAUUUUUGUCUCUCUUAUUGGGUGGUGAGGUCUUGGAACAGAUUGCCUAGGGAAGCUGUGGCUGCGUCAUCCCUGGAAGUGUUCAAUGCCAGGCUGGACAGGACUUGGAACAACCUGGGAUAGUGGAAGGUGUCCCUGCCCAUGGCAGGGGUGGGAUGGGAUUUAAGGUCUCUUCCAACCUAAACCAUUUCAUGGUUUUAUGACAUUUGGACACGGAAGUGUCCCAAAUGCUAGAGCAGCUGACAAAGAAAUUACUAGAAAGUGGAUCUGGUUUUGAUAAACCUGUUUGGAUUUUGGUGUUAAAAUCAUUCUUCGCCUGUAAACUUUGACUCAACCUUAGGUGCAAAUCCAAGGUAGCAGGUCAUAAGGGUCACUGGUAAAACAGGGGAAGGGAGGAUGGAUGUGGACUGAGAGGUCUUUCACACUAGUUACAAACACAAGUGAAGGCAAACAUAGAAGACAGUGACUUUGACAAUCUCAUUCCUGAGAGGAGCCAGGGAACAGCAGGGUCCUUGAACACAAGUCUCACAUCUGUUGAUGGAAAGUUGCACGGUAGGAUUUUUCCAGAAGUAUACCAGGUUAGUCUUCCUGCCUGCAGGAGCCCAUGGUCAUCCUGCUCUGCCUGCAGCCAUGUGAGGACCAUAAGAGCCUGGCCAUGAACCAUUGGUCAGAUCCUCUCACUUGCUGAGCUCAGCAGAACCACAGCAAGGGGGAAGCUGAGAACACUGAGGAUUAUCAGAUGAACAAGAAGCAUCAACUGCAUUCUUUGAUCACCUCCAGGUUAACACCCAUGGCAUGAUUUUAAUUGCUUAAGAUACAGUCACACUGCUUGGAUCUG
Molecule: long non-coding RNA, 1242 nt
Filed under: Cyanistes caeruleus (blue tit)
Lineage: Eukaryota; Metazoa; Chordata; Aves; Passeriformes; Paridae
Description: lncRNA (ENSCCEG00000020505.1)
Source: RNAcentral